This 76-nucleotide transfer RNA is filed under the name Dehalococcoidia bacterium. RNAcentral describes it as "tRNA-Arg". It matches the Rfam family "tRNA". Rfam says of the family: Transfer RNA (tRNA) molecules are approximately 80 nucleotides in length. Their secondary structure includes four short double-helical elements and three loops (D, anti-codon, and T loops). Further hydrogen bonds mediate the characteristic L-shaped molecular structure. tRNAs have two regions of fundamental functional importance: the anti-codon, which is responsible for specific mRNA codon recognition, and the 3' end, to which the tRNAs corresponding amino acid is attached (by aminoacyl-tRNA synthetases). tRNAs cope with the degeneracy of the genetic code in two manners: having more than one tRNA (with a specific anti-codon) for a particular amino acid; and 'wobble' base-pairing, i.e. permitting non-standard base-pairing at the 3rd anti-codon position. The record is from RNAcentral. Lineage: Bacteria; Bacillati; Chloroflexota; Dehalococcoidia.
GCGCUCGUAGCUCAGGGGAUAGAGCGCUGCCCUGCGGAGGCAGAGGUCGAAGGUUCGAAUCCUUCCGGGCGCACCA